Long non-coding RNA from Micropterus dolomieu (smallmouth bass), 273 nucleotides. RefSeq lists it as uncharacterized. The record is from RefSeq and is a predicted model, not a curated record. Lineage: Eukaryota; Metazoa; Chordata; Actinopteri; Centrarchiformes; Centrarchidae. The transcript is spliced from 2 exons.
CUCGUGCAGUAACAAGAGACUAGAACAGGAAGAGCUGGGGUCGUGGAGGGAAGAAAUCAACCAACACAGCCAGGAACAGCAGUGUGAGGCAGGCAGAGCAGAUUGAAUGAGGCCAUCUGAUGAUCAACUGAUGUACACAACCUCUGUAAUCUGCCAGAAAUUGCUCUUCUCUGUGACAACAUUAAUAAUCUGUAUGUUGUGGUUGUAUAUGUGCACAGAUACCAAUAAUAAAUAAUACCCAAUAAAAGGUAUAAGGCUAUGUAAUAAAGGGUU